Molecule: long non-coding RNA, 1096 nt
Filed under: Homo sapiens (human)
Lineage: Eukaryota; Metazoa; Chordata; Mammalia; Primates; Hominidae
Description: non-protein coding lnc-ARHGEF26-2:1
Source: RNAcentral
AUAAAUAUUUGUUGAAAGAACAUUUGUUCAAGAAUGCAUCAUUAGAAUGCAUUCAUUUUCAGCCAGGCGCCAUGGCUCACGCCUGUAAUCCCAGCACUUUGGGAGGCCAGGGCUGGUGGAUCACCUGAGGUCAGGAGCUCAAGACCAGCCUGGCCAACAUGGCAAAACCCUGUCUCUUCUAAAAAUACAAAAAUUAGCCAAGUGUGGUGGUGCACACCCGUAAUCUCAGCUACUCAGGAAGCAGAGGGUGCAGUGAGCCGAGAUCACACCACUGCACUCCAGACUGGGCAACAGAGUGAGACUCCAACUCAAAAAAAAAAAAAAAAAGUCUUCAUUUUGAAAACACAUGACAUGACUUUAAAAGUGAAAGCUACCGAAAUUCUGACUGGGAAACAAUGAUAUCAAGCUAAAGGUGGUCAAAGAAGAGCUGGGACGAGCCCAUUGAAAAAUACUCCUAUUUAAACAAGAAAGAAAGGUACAUUUUGGACAGGAGAACAGUAUGACACUGUAAUGAAAAGUAAAAAUAAAGUAUGCCUAAAAAAACUAUAAUUAUAUCAGACUGGAGACAUGGGCUCAGAGAAAUGUGCACAGCGGUAAACCUGUUACGUUGAAGCCGUAUUACCAAGAUUUCCAGAGAACAUGUCAAGAUGCAACUGAAAUAUAUCAGACUGAGACAGAAGUGACAUGACUUCCAAUCUGAAGUUGUGAAUUAGGUAAUAAAAUGAUCUAAUUUUUCCUUUUAAAAGAUCACCAUAGGCGGCUCUGUAAAGCACAGACAAUGCAGAGCAAGAAUGGAAGCUAGAUGACUAGUUAGAAGGCAAGAACAGAAAACAAACAGUGGCUUGAUCUAUGGUAACUAUUCUGGAGGUAAGUGGUUAGAUUGGGAUAUAUUAACAAGGCAGAGAUUUGCUGAAAUGAAGGGGAAGAAGCAAAGAUAAAUCUCAUUUGGCCUUGCCAAGUGAAUAAAUGGUCGUGUCACCACUAAAAGGAGGAUGGGAACGCAAGUAGAAAUGAAAAGUUCCAUUCAUAACAUCCACUGCACAACUGGCUAUACCCUUCAUGUGGAAACAAUAAUGAACAUUUUUUCCUGACUUAU